UUAUGUUGAACAUCGUCUUCUCCAAAACUCUCAUCUGCGCUAUCUCGUUGGAGUAGAGAGCCUUAUCAUUUUACAAAUAAAAACCAAUAUGAAUCUAGGUACUACUACAAUAUGAAUCUAGUACCUCCUCUAAUUUCUUCGUUUCAUGUUUUUCUUCAUCGUCAUCGGAAUUGUCAUCUCAUGCUCUCUUCUGAAACAACUUUUGAUUCUUCAUUAUAACCUCAAUUUUUUGAGCCGGAGUUUAUCAUCUUAACAUUGUGAUGAUGAUCAGAGAAGAACCCUGAAAUCGAUUCUCGUGUUAUCGACAUCCGGUGGAUUACGCAACCACCGCCACAAACUCGCCCCAACAUGAAGAAAGAGAUUCUCAAGAGAGGAAGAAAACUUAUGGAAAGGAGAUAUGGGGAGAUGACAAUCGAGAGGAGGGGGCGAUAGAUUAGGUCAAAUGACAAAUAUAUGUCUUCGGCUCAAGAUCAAAACCGAUUUGUUAUUCGGUUUUCGUU
This 500-nucleotide long non-coding RNA is filed under the name Arabidopsis lyrata. Its description in RNAcentral is "long non-coding RNA (ALYR_LNC001603)". Lineage: Eukaryota; Viridiplantae; Streptophyta; Magnoliopsida; Brassicales; Brassicaceae. The record is from RNAcentral.